UACCGCGGUUAUACGAGAGGCUCAAGUUGACAGAUCAACGGCGUAAAGAGUGGUUAAGGAACCCACCCCACUAAAGUCGAACACCCCCAGAACUGUUAUACGUUCCCGAGGAUAAGAAGCCCCACCACGAAAGUGACUUUAUUACCCCCUGACUCCACGAAAGCUGUGGUA
This 171-nucleotide ribosomal RNA is filed under the name Stegastes nigricans (dusky farmerfish). RNAcentral describes it as "partial small subunit ribosomal RNA". Lineage: Eukaryota; Metazoa; Chordata; Actinopteri; Pomacentridae. The record is from RNAcentral.